GUUUAAUUUCACACACACACACAC
Molecule: microRNA, 24 nt
Filed under: Populus x canadensis (hybrid black poplar)
Lineage: Eukaryota; Viridiplantae; Streptophyta; Magnoliopsida; Malpighiales; Salicaceae
Description: PC-3p-719252_1
Source: RNAcentral